Molecule: non-coding RNA, 952 nt
Organism: Salmo salar (Atlantic salmon)
Lineage: Eukaryota; Metazoa; Chordata; Actinopteri; Salmoniformes; Salmonidae
Source: RefSeq, a predicted model, not a curated record
UGCUCAGAAAGAUAUUGGAAGAAAAGGCCAAAUUGACAGCUGCCAUAGAGGAGUACAACACCCUUGUACCAGAUUCAGCAAUACCAUCUGCAGAUGAGAUCCUUUCCGCAGACCUUCAUGCAUAGCCUUGGGAGCUGCAUGGACAAACUGACCUACUCACAAAGAAAAUAGCCUUUGACCGGGUGAUGCUCCUGAGACGGCUGAAGGAGGAGGAGUUAAUUGUCCUAAAGGAAGUCAAGCAGCACUGGGAAAACCUAAAGAGGAAAUCAGAGAAUGUGCAAGACCUUGCUUCACAUGUGGCACUUGACCUAAGCAGGCUGGCAAUUGAAUCAGUCGGAAGCUGGGAGCAGUGGUCUCUUCUCCAUGCUUCAGAGUAGAGUCAGCAGCCUCAGAAGACACCAGGACUCUGUCAAACUGAUAUACAGCAAAGUUAUGGGCCAAGACACCUCCCUCCUAGAAAAUAACUUCAUAGAUGACCUCCUGGAAGAGGACCGAGAUGACAUCUAUGACAGCAUCCACUACAGCUCUGAUGACGAGGAAUCUAUCACAGACUGAAGGUGUUCAUUUUGGUGGGUGCAGUUUGCACUGGGUGAAAAGUGGAUCCAUUUGUUUUGCAUAUGUGCUUUAUCUGCCUUCCUAAGGAAAAAUAGUUUGAACAUUUUAUGGAAAAUAAACUUUUAUGUUUCUUCCUUGUUGACAAUGUGAUCAUGUGGCACAGAUUUGAGAAGGGCGCUCGUCUGUUACUGCUUUUGCCCGGUUACAUGACCAGGCCCGAUGCACCCCUUUAAAUGGCCAAUUUGCAGUUGCAACAUCCACUUUUAGAUUCUUGAAGAAUAUAAUUUAUAAAUACCUCAUGAACAUGGUUCAACUGCCGUACCCCAUCAGGGGCCUGUUGCACAAAAGUAGAAUUAAGACAUCCGGGAUAAAUGACUCAGCUGAGCUCAAUGAAGCC